This 253-nucleotide ribosomal RNA is filed under the name uncultured bacterium. Its description in RNAcentral is "partial 16S ribosomal RNA". It matches the Rfam family "Bacterial small subunit ribosomal RNA", at positions 524 to 776 of the family's 1533-position model. The record is from RNAcentral.
UACGUAGGGUGCGAGCGUUGUCCGGAAUUAUUGGGCGUAAAGAGCUCGUAGGCGGUUUGUCGCGUCGACUGUGAAAACCUGGGGCUUAACUCUGGGCCUGCAGUCGAUACGGGCAGACUUGAGUUCGGUAGGGGAGACUGGAAUUCCUGGUGUAGCGGUGAAAUGCGCAGAUAUCAGGAGGAACACCGGUGGCGAAGGCGGGUCUCUGGGCCGAUACUGACGCUGAGGAGCGAGAGCGUGGGGAGCGAACAGG